Molecule: ribosomal RNA, 308 nt
Filed under: Aeromonas salmonicida subsp. salmonicida 01-B526
Lineage: Bacteria; Pseudomonadati; Pseudomonadota; Gammaproteobacteria; Aeromonadales; Aeromonadaceae
Description: bacterial SSU rRNA
Rfam family: Bacterial small subunit ribosomal RNA
Source: RNAcentral
CGGGGAAAGGAUUUAUCGCCAUUAGAGCGGCCCGCGUCUGAUUAGCUAGUUGGUGAGGUAAAGGCUCACCAAGGCUACGAUCAGUAGCUGGUCUGAGAGGAUGACCAGCCACAUUGGGACUGAGACACGGCCCAAACUCCUACGGGAGGCAGCAGUGGGGAAUCUUGCGCAAUGGGCGAAAGCCUGACGCAGCCAUGCCGCGUGAAUGAUGAAGGUCUUAGGAUUGUAAAAUUCUUUCACCGGGGACGAUAAUGACGGUACCCGGAGAAGAAGCCCCGGCUAACUUCGUGCCAGCCGCCGCGGUAAUU